GUGCGAGACCGAUAGCGAACAAGUACCGUGAGGAAAAGAUGAAAAGAACUUUGAAAAGAGAGUUAAAGAGUACCUGAAACUGCUGAAAGGGAAGCGAAUCGUAUCCAGUGUCUAUAAUCUGCGGCAUAUUUCAUUGGCGGCGGUGCGCGUGCUUUUGCGUCGGAAGCGGCUUUUGUUGCUCUGUGCUUUUGCUGUGCGUGGUGUUGCUGGUGCCCUGUGUUGCGGUGGGACGUCAGAGUCAGUUUGUAUGCUGCGGGAAAUGGCUGCCGAGGAGGUAGGUCGAGAUUUCGGUCUUGGCUGUUAUAUCUUGGUGGUUUGUUGUCGUGGUUGAGACUGAGGUGCCUACAAUGUGCUUUUGAGUGCGCCGGGUUCUCAUUUGGUGGACUGUUUGGAUAGCUUGCUACGCUUGUGGUUUUUUCAUCGGGUGAUUGAGUCUGGUGGUAACUUGUUGCUGUUCGGGACUUUGA
Molecule: ribosomal RNA, 467 nt
Filed under: uncultured Oomycota
Lineage: Eukaryota; Oomycota
Description: LSU rRNA
Rfam family: Eukaryotic large subunit ribosomal RNA
Source: RNAcentral